Molecule: small nuclear RNA, 82 nt
Filed under: Dasypus novemcinctus (nine-banded armadillo)
Lineage: Eukaryota; Metazoa; Chordata; Mammalia; Cingulata; Dasypodidae
Description: U4 spliceosomal RNA (ENSDNOG00000027339.1)
Rfam family: U4 spliceosomal RNA
About the family: U4 small nuclear RNA (U4 snRNA) is a component of the major U2-dependent spliceosome. The structure of U4 snRNA from yeast and human has been reported.
Source: RNAcentral
AGCUUUGCACAGUGGCAGUAUUGUAGCCUCUGAGGUUUAUCCAAGGUGUGAUUAUUGCUAAAUGAAAAAUUUUCCUAUGUAA